CCUACGGGUGGCAGCAGUGAGGAAUAUUGGUCAAUGGCCGGAAGGCUGAACCAGCCAUGCCGCGUGAAGGUCAGUGCCCUAUGGGCGUUAAACUUCUUUUGUGCGGGAGCAAUAAUGGUCACGUGUGGCCAGACGAGAGUACCGUACGAAUAAGCAUCGGCUAACUCCGUGCCAGCAGCCGCGGUAAUACGGGGGAUGCAAGCGUGAUCCGGAUUUAUUGGGGUUAAAGGGUUGGUAGGCUGGGAGGUAAGUCAGCGGUGAAAUGCACCCGCUCAACGGGGUGAAGUGCCAUUGAUACUGCCUUGCUGGAAUGCGGAUGCCGUGGGAGGAAUGUGUGGUGUAGCGGUGAAAUGCAUAGAUAUCACACAGAACACCGAUUGCGAAGGCAUCUCACGAAUCCGCGAUUGACGCUGAUGCACGAAAGCGUGGGUAUCAAACAGGAUUAGAUACCCGUGUAGUC
RNAcentral lists this ribosomal RNA (460 nucleotides) under uncultured bacterium. RNAcentral describes it as "partial 16S ribosomal RNA". It matches the Rfam family "Bacterial small subunit ribosomal RNA", at positions 338 to 795 of the family's 1533-position model. The record is from RNAcentral.